UGGGGAAUUUUGGACAAUGGGGGCAACCCUGAUCCAGCAAUGCCGCGUGUGUGAAGAAGGCCUUCGGGUUGUAAAGCACUUUUGUCCGGAAAGAAAACGCCGUGGUUAAUACCCGUGGCGGAUGACGGUACCGGAAGAAUAAGCACCGGCUAACUACGUGCCAGCAGCCGCGGUAAUACGUAGGGUGCAAGCGUUAAUCGGAAUUACUGGGCGUAAAGCGUGCGCAGGCGGUCCGCUAAGACAGAUGUGAAAUCCCCGGGCUUAACCUGGGAACUGCAUUUGUGACUGGCGGGCUAGAGUAUGGCAGAGGGGGGUAGAAUUCCACGUGUAGCAGUGAAAUGCGUAGAGAUGUGGAGGAAUACCGAUGGCGAAGGCAGCCCCCUGGGCCAAUACUGACGCUCAUGCACGAAAGCGUGGGGAGCAAACAGGAUUAGAUACCCUGGUAGUCCACGCCCUAAACGAUGUCAACUAGUUGUNGGUCUUCAUUGACUUGGUAACGUAGCUAACGCGUGAAGUUGACCGCCUGGGGAGUACGGUCGCAAGAUUAAAACUUAAAUGAAUUGACGGGGU
RNAcentral lists this ribosomal RNA (570 nucleotides) under uncultured bacterium. RNAcentral describes it as "partial 16S ribosomal RNA". It matches the Rfam family "Bacterial small subunit ribosomal RNA", at positions 355 to 919 of the family's 1533-position model. The record is from RNAcentral.